Molecule: RNA transcript, 4082 nt
Organism: Peromyscus leucopus (white-footed mouse)
Lineage: Eukaryota; Metazoa; Chordata; Mammalia; Rodentia; Cricetidae
Gene: Fam184b
Gene name: family with sequence similarity 184 member B
Exons: 17
Source: RefSeq, a predicted model, not a curated record
CCAGCUAGCCCGCGAACGAGCACGAGCAGAGGAAGGUGGGUGCGCGAGUGGGCCCGGGAGGGAGACACCUCCGGAAAGGGGAGCCACGCUGCUGUGCUGGCAAGACCGCAGUGCCACCUCUCUGGAGAAAGUCCUCACGCCCGCGAUCGCACGCACGUGCACACGGCCAGCAGGGAGAGCGCGAGCCAGAGCUUUUCAGUGCAGGGCGCCUUAAAGCCAUGGCAUCUGCCCUCAACAGCAAAAUCCAGCCGCCAGGAACCUGCGCGAGCUCUAAAGCCGACGCCCGCGCUGGCUCGGGCUGGAGAAUGGACUGUGAUCCCGAGAUGCACGUGAAAAUGUGCAAGAAAAUCGCUCAGCUCACCAAGGUGAUUUAUGCCCUGAAUACUCGCCAGGAUGAGGCAGAGGCCAGUGCCGAGUCACUAAGGGAAGCCCACCAGGAGGAGCUCCAGGACGCAGUGGCGGAAACCAGGGCCAGGCUCUUGCAGGAACAGGAACGCACCAGUGAGGAUGCAGAGGUGCUUCUAAAGCGCAUCCAGACUCUGGAGAGUGCCUUGGAGCUGCAGAAGAGGCUGACCCAAGAGGCCUUGGCUGAGUCAGCCUCCUGUAAGUUGGAAACUAAAGAGAGAGAACUUCGGGUGGAAGCUGAGCACGCUGAGCGAGUCCUGAUUCUUUCCAAGGAGAUGCUGGAGCUCAAGGCUGAUUAUGAGAAGAGACUCCAGCUGCUGACCAGCCAUGAGGGGCCCCAGUGGGGCCAGCUAUCCCAAGACAGCCCCGAUGCCACGGCAGAGUCCGGCCAGCGACCGGAGAUGCACCAGGUCCUGCUGGAAGUAGAGCGAUUGCGAGCUGAGAACCAGCAGCUGAGCCAGGAUUAUGCCCGCAAAGCAGAGGAGCUACAGGCCACCUAUGAGCGGGAAAAUGAGGCCAUCCGGCAGGCCAUGCAGCAGUCUGUCAGCGAGGCCCUAUGGCAGUGGCAGGAGAAAGAGUCAGGCCUUCGAAAGAACUUCCAGGUCCAGGAGUCGGCCCUGCAGGCUCAGGUCAGGAAGCUGGAAGGGGACCUGGAACACAGAGGGCGCAAGAUAAGUGACCUCAAGAAGUAUGCCCAGAAGCUGAAAGAAAGGAUCCAGGACCUCGAUGUGCAGCUGAGGGAGGCUCGGCAGGAGAAUUCAGAGUUGAAGAGCACCGCAAGGAAACUGGGCGAGAAGUUGGCUAUUGCCAAAGACAGGUUGAUGCUCCAGGAGUGUCACGCGACACCGAAAGCUGAUGACGUGAAGACUGAGAAGGAAGUCCUGAGGAAAACCAAUGACCUGGAAGCCGGCAGCCUUCACCCGAGGCAGGACCAAGGCUUGCCCAAGCUGUGCCACUGUGGUGAAGGAGGCUCAGAAACACAGACCCAGAAAGAAGCAAGCGGUGAAAUAGAACGCAUGAAGCAGAAAUACGAAGAAGACCUGCGUAAAGUCAGACAUCAGACUGAGGAGGAGAAGCAGCAGCUCCGGGAGCAGCUGGGGAAGCGCCUGGAGGACUUGGUGAAGAAGCACACCGUGGAAAUGAAGUCGGUGCGCUCGUCCGUGGAGGUGGAAAGACAGAAGCUGAAGGAAGUAGAAGCUCAAUUGGAAGAAGUAAAGACAAAAUCAGAAAGGGAAAUAAAGCAACUGGAAGAUGAGAAAGCUGCCCUCAGUGAGAAGCUUCAGAAUUCUCUACUUGAGGAUCCGUGCUCAAAGCCGAAGGAACCUUCCCAGACACUGACUGGAGAAGAGGGCCGGGAGCCCCUGACAGCUGAAGAAGGAACCAGCAGCGAUGAAGAAGAAAGGAUCGGAGAACCCCUCAAGGAAGGAAGUAACCUACAGCCUCCAUUGGGCUCUGGGCUGAAGGAGAAGGCAAUGGAGACUGGACAUCGACCAGAGGACUGGCAGAACCAAAAGGCCAAACUACAAACCCAGGCCACAGAGGAGCUCCUGAAGAAGGAGUCCAGUCACAGCCUCCAGAUCCAACACCAGGCACACCUGCUGGAGCUCCAGGCCCUAGAGGAGAAGGCCAGACAAGAACUGCAAGAGCCUCUCCUGCUUGAGUCCCUGAGGCAGGAGCUGACAGAGCAGCGAGCUGCCUGCUCUGAGCAUCAGAAGGGACUUGAGGUGCUCCAGAACGAGCAAAGGGCCCUGGGACCCUUGGGGAAGUGGCAGGCCAUCAAUCAGUGUCCAAGGAAUGGCACAGACCACACCUUCAUUACAGAGGAUGUGGGCGUUGUAGAGCCUCCUGGUUCCACGCCCUGUGCGGCCAAGAAGGGGCUCCUGGAGGAGAAUGCUCAGCUCCAAGGCACUGUAUUACGCUUGCGUGCAGAGGUGGAACAGCACCUGCAGGAGGCGCUGCAGCUGCGUGAGCAGCACCGGUUGCUGGAGGAGGACCAGAAAGCCCAGAGAGCCAUGGAGGUGGAGGCACUCCGCCAGGAGCACCGGAAGGAGAUGCAGGCCAUGGUGGCAGAUUUCAGUGGUGCCCAGGCCCGACUCCAGGCCAGGCUGGCUGCCCUGGAAGCCGAGCUGAAAGAUUCUGGAGAGAAGCCAGGGAAAGGAACUUCGCGGCCUGAGGACCUGCAGCUCAUAGGCCGCCUGCAGACGCGCCUGAAGGAGAGAGAGGACAUCAUCAGGCAGCUGACGGAAGAGCGAAGAUUUCACUAUGCGGCCUUCCCCAGUGCGAUGUCCCACCGGAAUCGGUCCUUCUCUUUCAAUCCUCACCCGGGAUACUUGACCCCUUCCAUGAAGAAAAAGAAGAUGGAGGAAGUGCCCAGCCGAGUGGUCAGCGUGCCAAACCUUGCCUCCUACGCAAAGAACUUCCUGAGCGGAGAUCUGAGCUCCAGGAUCAAUGCCCCUCCCAUAACUAAGUCACCCAGCCUGGACCCAAGCCCCAGCUGUGGCCAGCCUUACAAACCCACCCAGUCACUCGAUGGGAAAACUGCCACAAGAGCACAAGAUGGAGAACCAGGCCAAGCCAAAGAGGCCUCACAAAAGCAAGGUUCUCCGCAUCAGGAAUGGUUUACCAAGUACUUUUCAUUCUAAACUGGUCUUUGAGAUCUGUUCCAAUGAGUACAUUAGAAAAUCAUUACAACCAUCUGAAGGAAUGAAUUAAAAUCACCCAACCAGAAUUAUGCUAUAUAUUUCCACAUAUAUAAAAUGAUAAUUCCAAAAUGCACAUCUCACCUCAAUAUGAAGAGGAAUAAAAUAAAGCCAAUGAAGACAAAACAAACAAAAAAACAUCAAACCUACCAGGAAUGGACUGUAGCAUGCUUGGACUGCAUGUUUUGUUGCCGCCGACUAAGGAGGGACAACACCUACCUCACCUGGGACUCUGCAAGAUUAAGCAGUAUACUCUAGGUACAGCCAUCAGCCAGAACUGGAAUGCUCAGUGAACUACUGUUCCACCUGCCACACAUCAGCUUCAGCAACCAUUGUGCAACAGUCUUUUGUGAAGGAUUCUAGACUGUCCUCUGAUGUCAAAGAUUGCUGGACCCCAUACAUCUGCCUCAGAUGUAUGGCCUCCCCACCGCAUGGACUCCCAGGAGAACCGGGAACUGCCCAUGGUGCUGAACUUGCGAUCGGUCCUUGUCUUACCCUCUGACAGAGCAGAUCUGACACAAUUUUCAAUGGGUAGAUUUUUCUCUCUGGUGCUGGCCCAGCAAGUGGCUUAUCAACAGAUGCCAAUUCUAUGCAUUGUCAAAUAUUUGCUCUUUGAAUAAAACCCUAAACAACUGGGCAAUAAAAAUGGCUAUGGCUUGUAUAAUUAGAUGAAACAAAUUUCACAUUAAGUUCAGAUUGUCUACAAAUAAAAUGUAGAUAAUUAGAUCAUUUUUAAAGAAAUGUAAGUAAAAUAAGUUAAAAAGCCAAACAAGACUAUGUUGUUGUUGUUUCGGUGUUAGAACUUGAAUACAGGCUCUUCCUUGCCCCUGGUUAGGGAAUUGUUACACCACUGACCUACGCUGCCACCCUGCGAUAGAUGGAUGCAAACAUUCGUCAUCAUAUUUGGAAUGCCCCAUUAUUUUUCAGUGCCAACUUUUUCUUUCCUGCUCAGGAUGUGUCUGAUAUAACCUGAAGACA